Molecule: non-coding RNA, 1087 nt
Organism: Electrophorus electricus (electric eel)
Lineage: Eukaryota; Metazoa; Chordata; Actinopteri; Gymnotiformes; Gymnotidae
Source: RefSeq, a predicted model, not a curated record
GCAGCGCAAAGACAUAAAACUUUUAUCACAGAAAUCCAUUCCAAAUAAGCAGGACAAAAAUCCUUUUUGAAGAUGCGACACCUAUUUUAAAGUGACAUUAGGGACAGAAGAUAAGCACCCUGGAGAGCUAUUGUGGCCACCUUUCUCACUGCUGCUGGCCGUCCGGAGCGCAACUGGACUCGGGCUGCCUCCCGGGAACUCCUGCUGAAAUGGUUUGCGUGUGCAAAGCGCUGCAGAGGUUAGAGUAGCAGAUACAGGGGGUACGCGGGUGCAGCGCACGGUUUGGGGGAAAAAACCGGUGCGUAUUUACACGCUUCAUCUCAUCACCAAGUCCUCAUUAGGUUGUUAACCUCUUGUUCACAUGAAAAGCCGCCGCGCCGCGCAGGACUCUCGCGCAAGCUCAGGCAUCCCCCUCGAGGCAGAAGACAAAGCCGUUAACUGUGCAAAAUAAGUAAGCAUUUACUCUGACUGCUAUGAAGUUCGCGAGCUUCAUAGUUGUUUUUCCCCCAUUUAAUUCAAGGUCAUUUGGCUGCUACUUGAUAAAUAAUCUAAUUUAAAUAACAUCACAAAAACGCCCAAAUAAAUAAUUUAAAAAACAUCAAGCCAUGAUAUAUUUUUAUGGAAACAUUGUCAAUUUCUUUGCACUAGUGUAUUCUGCAAAUAGCUCCCAGACAUAAUGCCCUUUUCACUAAACAUGCAAAAAGGCUAGGAACAAGUCAUCGUCACAAAAACGACAUGGCCUUCUCAAGCCUUAAAUGGCUAAAUCAAAGACAAGGCCGUAAACCUCAGAUGAGUGUAGACAGCGUUAUCCUUAAUUUAUCGAACGUAACCUAUUAAAUUAGCAGUCGUACUAGCGCGCGGGUUUGUGUGCGCUUGUGUGUGUUUCAGGUACCAGCCAAUUAAAAUGCUCUAGUUCUCCACAUCUGCCUCCCUUUACAAACGACUCGAACAGAAAAGAGGGAGCCCAGUGAAAGAGCGCUCAUUGAGAUCACAGAUGGAGUAUAGGUUUUUGCUGGAAAUUUGAGAAACACCAUUGUCCCAAAUCCAAACUCAGUGUGUUCCUUUACAAUGGUUCCGGCUUUGAGCU